GAUGAACGCUGGCGGCGUGCUUAACACAUGCAAGUCGAACGGAAAGGCUCCUGCUUGCCGGGGUACUCGAGUGGCGAACGGGUGAGUAACACGUGGGUGAUCUGCCCUGCACUUCGGGAUAAGCCUGGGAAACUGGGUCUAAUACCGGAUAGGACCACAUUUUGGAUGGUGUGGUGGAAAGUUUUUCGGUGUGGGAUGAGCUCGCGGCCUAUCAGCUUGUUGGUGGGGUAAUGGCCUACCAAGGCGUCGACGGGUAGCCGGCCUGAGAGGGUGUACGGCCACAUUGGGACUGAGAUACGGCCCAGACUCCUACGGGAGGCAGCAGUGGGGAAUAUUGCACAAUGGGCGCAAGCCUGAUGCAGCGACGCCGCGUGGGGGAUGACGGCCUUCGGGUUGUAAACUCCUUUCGCUAGGGACGAAGCGUUUUUGUGGCGGUACCUGGAGAAGAAGCACCGGCUAACUACGUG
RNAcentral lists this ribosomal RNA (467 nucleotides) under uncultured bacterium. Its description in RNAcentral is "partial 16S ribosomal RNA". It matches the Rfam family "Bacterial small subunit ribosomal RNA", at positions 28 to 507 of the family's 1533-position model. The record is from RNAcentral.